This 2336-nucleotide ribosomal RNA is filed under the name Escherichia coli. Its description in RNAcentral is "partial 23S ribosomal RNA". It matches the Rfam family "Bacterial large subunit ribosomal RNA", at positions 1 to 2364 of the family's 2925-position model. Lineage: Bacteria; Pseudomonadati; Pseudomonadota; Gammaproteobacteria; Enterobacterales; Enterobacteriaceae. The record is from RNAcentral.
GUUAAGCGACUAAGCGUACACGGUGGAUGCCCUGGCAGUCAGAGGCGAUGAAGGACGUGCUAAUCUGCGAUAAGCGUCGGUAAGGUGAUAUGAACCGUUAUAACCGGCGAUUUCCGAAUGGGGAAACCCAGUGUGUUUCGACACACUAUCAUUAACUGAAUCCAUAGGUUAAUGAGGCGAACCGGGGGAACUGAAACAUCUAAGUACCCCGAGGAAAAGAAAUCAACCGAGAUUCCCCCAGUAGCGGCGAGCGAACGGGGAGCAGCCCAGAGCCUGAAUCAGUGUGUGUGUUAGUGGAAGCGUCUGGAAAGGCGCGCGAUACAGGGUGACAGCCCCGUACACAAAAAUGCACAUGCUGUGAGCUCGAUGAGUAGGGCGGGACACGUGGUAUCCUGUCUGAAUAUGGGGGGACCAUCCUCCAAGGCUAAAUACUCCUGACUGACCGAUAGUGAACCAGUACCGUGAGGGAAAGGCGAAAAGAACCCCGGCGAGGGGAGUGAAAAAGAACCUGAAACCGUGUACGUACAAGCAGUGGGAGCACGCUUAGGCGUGUGACUGCGUACCUUUUGUAUAAUGGGUCAGCGACUUAUAUUCUGUAGCAAGGUUAACCGAAUAGGGGAGCCGAAGGGAAACCGAGUCUUAACUGGGCGUUAAGUUGCAGGGUAUAGACCCGAAACCCGGUGAUCUAGCCAUGGGCAGGUUGAAGGUUGGGUAACACUAACUGGAGGACCGAACCGACUAAUGUUGAAAAAUUAGCGGAUGACUUGUGGCUGGGGGUGAAAGGCCAAUCAAACCGGGAGAUAGCUGGUUCUCCCCGAAAGCUAUUUAGGUAGCGCCUCGUGAAUUCAUCUCCGGGGGUAGAGCACUGUUUCGGCAAGGGGGUCAUCCCGACUUACCAACCCGAUGCAAACUGCGAAUACCGGAGAAUGUUAUCACGGGAGACACACGGCGGGUGCUAACGUCCGUCGUGAAGAGGGAAACAACCCAGACCGCCAGCUAAGGUCCCAAAGUCAUGGUUAAGUGGGAAACGAUGUGGGAAGGCCCAGACAGCCAGGAUGUUGGCUUAGAAGCAGCCAUCAUUUAAAGAAAGCGUAAUAGCUCACUGGUCGAGUCGGCCUGCGCGGAAGAUGUAACGGGGCUAAACCAUGCACCGAAGCUGCGGCAGCGACACUAUGUGUUGUUGGGUAGGGGAGCGUUCUGUAAGCCUGUGAAGGUGUGCUGUGAGGCAUGCUGGAGGUAUCAGAAGUGCGAAUGCUGACAUAAGUAACGAUAAAGCGGGUGAAAAGCCCGCUCGCCGGAAGACCAAGGGUUCCUGUCCAACGUUAAUCGGGGCAGGGUGAGUCGACCCCUAAGGCGAGGCCGAAAGGCGUAGUCGAUGGGAAACAGGUUAAUAUUCCUGUACUUGGUGUUACUGCGAAGGGGGGACGGAGAAGGCUAUGUUGGCCGGGCGACGGUUGUCCCGGUUUAAGCGUGUAGGCUGGUUUUCCAGGCAAAUCCGGAAAAUCAAGGCUGAGGCGUGAUGACGAGGCACUACGGUGCUGAAGCAACAAAUGCCCUGCUUCCAGGAAAAGCCUCUAAGCAUCAGGUAACAUCAAAUCGUACCCCAAACCGACACAGGUGGUCAGGUAGAGAAUACCAAGGCGCUUGAGAGAACUCGGGUGAAGGAACUAGGCAAAAUGGUGCCGUAACUUCGGGAGAAGGCACGCUGAUAUGUAGGUGAGGUCCCUCGCGGAUGGAGCUGAAAUCAGUCGAAGAUACCAGCUGGCUGCAACUGUUUAUUAAAAACACAGCACUGUGCAAACACGAAAGUGGACGUAUACGGUGUGACGCCUGCCCGGUGCCGGAAGGUUAAUUGAUGGGGUUAGCGCAAGCGAAGCUCUUGAUCGAAGCCCCGGUAAACGGCGGCCGUAACUAUAACGGUCCUAAGGUAGCGAAAUUCCUUGUCGGGUAAGUUCCGACCUGCACGAAUGGCGUAAUGAUGGCCAGGCUGUCUCCACCCGAGACUCAGUGAAAUUGAACUCGCUGUGAAGAUGCAGUGUACCCGCGGCAAGACGGAAAGACCCCGUGAACCUUUACUAUAGCUUGACACUGAACAUUGAGCCUUGAUGUGUAGGAUAGGUGGGAGGCUUAGAAGUGUGGACGCCAGUCUGCAUGGAGCCGACCUUGAAAUACCACCCUUUAAUGUUUGAUGUUCUAACGUUGACCCGUAAUCCGGGUUGCGGACAGUGUCUGGUGGGUAGUUUGACUGGGGCGGUCUCCUCCUAAAGAGUAACGGAGGAGCACGAAGGUUGGCUAAUCCUGGUCGGACAUCAGGAGGUUAGUGCAAUGGCAUAAGC